Molecule: unclassified non-coding RNA, 234 nt
Filed under: Hevea brasiliensis (rubber tree)
Lineage: Eukaryota; Viridiplantae; Streptophyta; Magnoliopsida; Malpighiales; Euphorbiaceae
Source: RNAcentral
UACACUUUCACUCAUUUCUGGCACCAUACGUUUCAGGCUUUCUGCAUGGAAAGUCUGGUUUGCCAGUUUUCUUACUUUUGCCCAUUUUUCACCUUCAUUUGUUAUAAGUGCUUCCCCUAGUAGUUUCUUCGCAUAGCCUUCCAUGUCCAUUUUCGGGUAAAUGUCUUCUUUGUUGGACAAUACUUCUUUGAUCAGCUCUGGUUCAGUGACAAAUAAGUAUGGUUUCGAGCCAUG